RNAcentral lists this non-coding RNA (33 nucleotides) under unclassified sequences. RNAcentral's name for it is "DUF805b RNA". It matches the Rfam family "DUF805b RNA". From Rfam's summary of the family: Bacteroidetes, Chlorobi (1 example), Proteobacteria. The record is from RNAcentral.
AACGGAGAAGCUGAAAACCGAAUAGAGUAAGCA